Molecule: long non-coding RNA, 101 nt
Organism: Corapipo altera (White-ruffed manakin)
Lineage: Eukaryota; Metazoa; Chordata; Aves; Passeriformes; Pipridae
Exons: 3
Source: RefSeq, a predicted model, not a curated record
GGCAGUUCCGUGUGUUUUGGAUACACAUAAUCACUAGAUAAAAUACAGAAAUAAACAUCCCAGGUCAUAGGAACCCAUGCAGGGAAAAGCACACGUCUGAA